GACGAACGCUGGCGGCGUGCUUAACACAUGCAAGUCGAACGGAAAGGCCCUGCUUGCAGGGUGCUCGAGUGGCGAACGGGUGAGUAACACGUGGGUGAUCUGCCCCUUACUUUGGGAUAAGCCUGGGAAACUGGGUCUAAUACUGGAUAGGACCAUGCUGUAGGUGGUGUGGUGGAAAGAUUAGUUUCGGUAAGGGAUGAGCUCGCGGCCUAUCAGCUUGUUGGUGGGGUAAUGGCCUACCAAGGCGUCGACGGGUAGCCGGCCUGAGGGGGUGGACGGCCACGUUGGGACUGAGAAACGGCCCAGACUCCUACGGGAGGCAGCAGUGGGGAAUAUUGCACAAUGGGCGCAAGCCUGAUGCAGCGACGCCGCGUGGGGGAUGACGGCCUUCGGGUUGUAAACUCCUUUCAGCCAUGACGAAGCCCUUGUGGUGACGGUAGUGGUAGAAGAAGCACCGGCUAACUACGUG
This 469-nucleotide ribosomal RNA is filed under the name uncultured bacterium. Its description in RNAcentral is "partial 16S ribosomal RNA". It matches the Rfam family "Bacterial small subunit ribosomal RNA", at positions 28 to 507 of the family's 1533-position model. The record is from RNAcentral.